This 2068-nucleotide long non-coding RNA is filed under the name Durio zibethinus. RNAcentral describes it as "long non-coding RNA (DZIB_LNC000644)". The record is from RNAcentral. Lineage: Eukaryota; Viridiplantae; Streptophyta; Magnoliopsida; Malvales; Malvaceae.
UUGACAACAGAAACUACCACGUCAAAGGAAUUGUGCUAAUUCUAAAAUCUACCUGGGUAUUUUGGUCAUCAUUAGUGUUUGAUUCUGUAUGUCAAAUAAAUCAAGCAUUAAGUUUGCUUUACUGCCAAAAAUGUUAUAUUCCACAAAAGGAAAUCCACUGUAGAUCAAAAUUUCCAAAGAUAAAAAUAGACAAAUAAAAGAACAAUCAAUGCUAUACGAAAACAUGCAAAUGAUGACAUUACUUGCAAAUAAGGAUUUUGAGCUCAGGACAUAAAUAAGAGAAAAGUUUGAGAUGGAAAAGCAUAUCAGAAAUAAUAUUCAUGGGUUAAUGUAGAGAGCAUUAUAUUACCUAAAGAAAUGUACCAUGCCAAAGGCCUAUUUUCAACACCAAUAAUGCUGUAAAUGCUAUUUUAUUUAUGGGUUAACAAAUUCUAAGUAGCUUAUGGAUUUGCAAAGUCGAUAUAUUUGUGGGAACUAAUUCAAAUUCUUUUCAAAGCAACUAAAAAUAUAAAUUUAAGUUAACCAAAGGUAACACAUCUGAAAUUAUAACAGGAAAAUCUUUUAGGUAAAAACAAAAAUGUUCCAUUAAAUGGGACAAAAUGUCUAAAAGAAAAUGUUACAAUAUUUCAGGAAAAAAUAAGCUAAAGUAAUGUAGGAAGUCAAUUAAAUCAAUUACCAUAGAUUGAAGUCCAUUAAUACUAACAAUCUUCUCCCCAUGUGCACUAUCUUUGAUAACUAAUCUCAAAUGGACCUAAUUCUCUAUCUGUAUGGUUUGUAAAAUUCAAAUGUACCUUAAGAGUAGUGAUUAAAUCAUUAAAAGCCAAAUAAAAUAUCACAAUCCUCAAUGAAGGAAGAGUGCAAUAUUGAUGAUAUAAAAGAUAACUUCCAGUCGCAUGAAUUGAUUUCAUAUCAACUUCAACUAAAAAAUUGCACUAAUAUAUAUACCAAGCCAUUUUAACCCUUUUAUUUCUAUAGUUCGUGUCAUACAAAAAGAAUCCAAUUGUAGCAGAAAGACUUAAUUGCUUAUAUUAGAGAAUUCAAGUCAAUCUUAACCUACCUUAGCGGUGCGGGCCUGUACAACUGAUAUGGGUUUAUCAGUAAUAUUUUUAGAAUCAAAACCAUUGACCUGCAUUAUUUGGUUAAAGCACAGGAUACAAAAAUCACUAAUCCGAUCAAACCACUAAUGAGAUGGGUUAAUGAUUAAUGUUUUCAGAAACAAAAUUCUCAUCGAAUCACUAAUCUCAAUAAUAGGCAUUACCUCCUUUUGUGCAGGUAGUAAAAGAUAGGAUGUUAAUUUAAAAAGAAAAAAGAAAAAGAUCCAUAAAUAAAACAAAUUAAUAGUGACUAAUUACCAUGAAGAGAGAGGGUAUUUUCUUUAGCACUGUUAUCGAUUUUUCUUCAAAAACCAAAAACUCAAAACAGUUAAAAAAUAAAUUUAAUUAUACUAAGAAGAAAACAACCCAUGUGCUUUUUUAUGGGUAAUUAUCCCAGUAAACUUCAGAAAAUUUCUUACAUAAACAAAAUCCAUAUAAAAUAAAAAAGUGAAAGCGUAACACAUAAAAGGAACAAAAAAUCGGACAGAAAUAACUUAAAAGAAAACUCAUACAUUUUCGCAUGUAGCAUAACAUAAUAGAUCAAAAUUUUCAUAUCCAUAUGGCUCUAAAAAAUUGAUAUCUUGGGUCUCAAAUACAAAACAGGACAUGACGAAGAAGAUAAACAAACCUUGAAGGACUUUGAAGAUGACAGAGGGUUGUUGAUAUUGCAGACUUCUUCUCCCCUGCUCAUCGUCGUUGCUUCCGCCCUACCAAAAAUAAAGAAAUCUUGCAAAGUUAAGAAUUAUGAAAAUUUCAAAAUAGAGACUAAUAAAAUUCAAUCAUUUUCUUACAACCGAAAAGAAACCCAAAUCUGAUUUUUUUUUUUUCUAAUUUUUUUCUUUCUUUUUACUUUUUUGCUGAUAACCCAAAUAUGAUUUUAUUUGUCGACAACCCUUCUCCUUCCUUCUCUCUGUCUUCUCUCAUAUCUAAAAAUUUUUCUCCUUCAUUUCUUCUUCAAAAUUUCUCUCCUAUAC